AGAAACUUAGGAUAACCCACCCCAAACCGAAG
RNAcentral lists this transfer RNA (32 nucleotides) under Megascops usta. RNAcentral describes it as "partial tRNA-Trp". Lineage: Eukaryota; Metazoa; Chordata; Aves; Strigiformes; Strigidae. The record is from RNAcentral.